This is a small nuclear RNA of Nannospalax galili (Upper Galilee mountains blind mole rat), 104 nucleotides long. The record is from Ensembl. NCBI's taxonomy places the organism in Eukaryota, Metazoa, Chordata, Mammalia, Rodentia, Spalacidae.
GUGCUUACUCUAACAGCACAUAUACUAAAAUUGGGACAAUACAAAGAUUAACAUGUCCCAUGGGCAAAGAGCACAUGUAAAUUUGUGAAGUGCUCCAUAUUUUA